RNAcentral lists this ribosomal RNA (433 nucleotides) under uncultured bacterium. Its description in RNAcentral is "partial 16S ribosomal RNA". It matches the Rfam family "Bacterial small subunit ribosomal RNA", at positions 29 to 507 of the family's 1533-position model. The record is from RNAcentral.
AACGAACGCUGGCGGCAUGCCUAACACAUGCAAGUCGAACGAGACCUUCGGGUCUAGUGGCGCACGGGUGCGUAACGCGUGGGGACCUGCCCUUAGGUUCGGAAUAACUCCCCGAAAGGGGUGCUAAUACCGGAUAAUGUCUUCGGACCAAAGAUUUAUCGCCUUUGGAUGGGCCCGCGUUGGAUUAGCUAGUUGGUAGGGUAAAAGCCUACCAAGACGACGAUCCAUAGCUGGUCUGAGAGGAUGGUCAGCCACACUGGGACUGAGACACGGCCCAGACUCCUACGGGAGGCAGCAGUGGGGAAUAUUGGACAAUGGGCGAAAGCCUGAUCCAGCAAUGCCGCGUGAGUGAUGAAGGCCUUAGGGUUGUAAAGCUCUUUUACCCGGGAUGAUAAUGACAGUACCGGGAGAAUAAGCGCCGGCUAACUCCGUG